Molecule: transfer RNA, 76 nt
Filed under: bacterium BMS3Abin06
Lineage: Bacteria
Also listed under: 2 other names
Description: tRNA-Glu
Rfam family: tRNA
About the family: Transfer RNA (tRNA) molecules are approximately 80 nucleotides in length. Their secondary structure includes four short double-helical elements and three loops (D, anti-codon, and T loops). Further hydrogen bonds mediate the characteristic L-shaped molecular structure. tRNAs have two regions of fundamental functional importance: the anti-codon, which is responsible for specific mRNA codon recognition, and the 3' end, to which the tRNAs corresponding amino acid is attached (by aminoacyl-tRNA synthetases). tRNAs cope with the degeneracy of the genetic code in two manners: having more than one tRNA (with a specific anti-codon) for a particular amino acid; and 'wobble' base-pairing, i.e. permitting non-standard base-pairing at the 3rd anti-codon position.
Source: RNAcentral
GGUCCCAUCGUCUAGUGGCCCAGGACGCGGCCCUCUCAAGGCUGAAACACGGGUUCGACUCCCGUUGGGACCACCA